Molecule: ribosomal RNA, 407 nt
Filed under: uncultured bacterium
Lineage: Bacteria
Description: partial 16S ribosomal RNA
Rfam family: Bacterial small subunit ribosomal RNA
Source: RNAcentral
AUUGAACGCUGGCGGCAGGCCUAACACAUGCAAGUCGAGCGGAGCGGCGGACGGGUGAGUAAUGCCUAGGAAUCUGCCUGGUAGUGGGGGAUAACGUCCGGAAAAGGGCGCUAAUACCGCAUACUAUCAGAUGAGACUAGGUCGGAUUAGCUAGUUGGUGGGUUAAAGGCCUACAAAGGCGACGAUCCGUAACUGGUCUGAGAGGAUGAUCAGUCACACGGGAACUGAGACACGGUCCAUACUCCUACGGGAGGCAGCAGUGGGGAAUAGUGGACAAGGGGCUAAAGCCUGAUCCAGCCAUGCCGGGGAUGUGAAGAAGGUCUUCGGAUUGGAAAGCACUUUAAGUUGGGAGGCGUUACCAACAGAAUAAGCACCGGCUAACUUCGUGCCAGCAGCCGCGGUAAUAC